RNAcentral lists this unclassified non-coding RNA (1921 nucleotides) under Hevea brasiliensis (rubber tree). The record is from RNAcentral. Lineage: Eukaryota; Viridiplantae; Streptophyta; Magnoliopsida; Malpighiales; Euphorbiaceae.
UGUAAGUGCAGAACUUGAUGCAUGUAAAGAUGAUGUAAGCAAACGAGUUAGAGACUCUGAAAACAAAGCAGUUGCUGCUGGUGGAGGUGGUGGCCCUGAGAUGGCAGAUUUUGAGCUUGAAGGAUUCCACUUUAAACCGGGGUCAUUAUUAUGAUUGAAUUGCUGAUUUGUAGCUGCCGAAGACUAAAACAGAAGCCACCAUUGAUGUGCGAAUGGAAGCUGAAACAGGACAGAUGCCCUUACCUUGAAUAUGAAAAUAUGCAUCAACUUAACAAAAUUUCCUUCAAAAUUUAUCAUCAGCUGUAGGUCCAAGUGUUAAAAUUCAUAAAAUAUUAUCGGGAUCUCAAGUUUGAUGUGCAACCCCAAGCUGAUCAGCAGCGUGUAUCUUUUGUUUUUUUGAAGGAAAAAAUAAAUGAAAUAAACUAAAUAAGAAAGUACAGCUUCACAAAUAAAAUUGGGAGGUAAAAUUAGGAGGGACGGGCUCCACUCUGUCAAACCAAACUUGGAACAUGCUAUCGUUGUUAAUAAAUGGGCGACAAAAAUCGCCGAACAGUGGCUUCGCUAAUGGAGCAAAUUAUUUGCGGCCUGUUCAACGAUAAAAUUAUUUGCAGUCAAGCAUGCACGGUUCAUGCCAAGUCGGAAGGUACUAAUCAUGGCUCAUUAGCUCAAUGAUUAUUUGUUGCUUUCAUCUUUCCGAUUAGAUAACUAGAAAUUUGGGGAAAAGAGAAACACAAAAGGAGUUUUCUUUUGUAUUUUUGUCAGAAGUCAUAGUUCAUUAAUUAAAAAGUCUUGGGCUCAGUAAAAGUUAAAAUCCAAAGAUACAAUUGAAACAGAAAAAAGCUCUACUUCCUAGCUUAAAAACAAAGAUUACAUAUCAAACCCAUAGCUAGAGGCUCAAAAACAAAAAUAAGGAUCCAGAAAAUAAAAAAAAAAAGAAAAAAACCAACCCAGUUCCAAGUCCUAGAAACUGGUUCUCAAGCAAACAACCCUAGAAACUUGAUCCACAAUUGCAAAACCCGAGAGACAUGAGGUGUAGCGUUGCCUCACCAUGCAAAAAGGUUCUCCAGCAACACUCUAGGGAAGAUCUAAACAAACAGAUGAGUCACAAAGGGAGAACCAUCAAUUCCAUAGCCUUACUUCCAAGGGUCUCCCAGAAUACUACAACCCAAGAGAGAUCGCACUUCACAGGGGGCCCAAAACCACAGAUGGAAGAACCAAGCCAAGGUAGAUGGAUUAGCAAGACGAAGAAGCAUCGCAUAUUGCUCCAAGAGGGUGAUGAGGUAGAGCUUGGUCAGCCAAUGAAGCCUUGGAGUCGGUCAUAGAUGGCACAGUAGGCGAAGGACCCCCCAAGGUACUCACAUCUCUUAAAAACGCAAACCCUCCCAAAGCCAAAAAGAUAGAGAAUGAUGAAAAAGUAUUAAUACCUGCAUGCAACACCCAAAGCUAGACAAAGCAACUCUAAUCUAUGAUAGAUCAAAGAAGGCUCUCUUAAAUAAGCACCAUCUACCACCAAAAACCACUUAAACUUAUUUAUGCAUAUCAUCCCACCCGGAGGGGGAGAUCAUAACCCACUACCAGAUAGAGGAGAGGAAUGUCUCCACUGCCCAGACGGGGCAAGGGAGACCACAGAUCCAGCAAAGCAAGGGACCAAAUGUCUCAGAAAACUGAGGAAAUUGGCUCCUUCGUUCACUUCCUUCUUGUUUUCCUACUACAUAAAGAGUUGUAUAUAUACAUCGCAGAAACUAGAGAGUAUAUUGGUUCUAGUAAAUUAAUCAGGGACGUGCUCGGUUUGCAGGCUUCAUUUUCCAGAAAUAAUAAUAUUAAAAAAAAUGCAACCAAGAAGCUUAGUUCUUAAUUCACUAAUUCAGAGAUGCUGGUGCGGUCAAUAGUAUAGGCAUAGACAAUUAAUAAAUCAUGAAAU